This 933-nucleotide long non-coding RNA is filed under the name Homo sapiens (human). RNAcentral describes it as "HSALNT0146836". Lineage: Eukaryota; Metazoa; Chordata; Mammalia; Primates; Hominidae. The record is from RNAcentral.
GGAAGCUCAUGUUCAUUGGCCUGGAGAUUCAAGUACACACAGAGACACAGAGGCAUUCCAAAAAGGAACGUGAGGGUUUUGUGCAAGGCAUAGGACAGUGAAUAUGCUCGGUGAGGCAUGCAAACACAGCAAAGGAAUGAAGGAGCUGCACAUGGAGUGGUAUGCACUUCUAAACAGCUUUCAGCAGGCCUUGGAUCCACAAACAGCAGGAGACAGCCUUUCUCUAUAAGAAAGGACAGUUGGAGCCCGAAUGUUACUCUGGUAAACAACAGCCUGAGCCAUGUGAGGAAGUGAUUCCCCUUUCAUACAGGACACAAAAAUACUGAUAUUAAACGAAUUAGUAACUUUACAAUGCCCUGUUAAGCGUUCAAAUGAAAGGAAGACUGGCAUUUCUGUCACUUUUAAUUAAAACCUAGAAAUGAUUACUCUUAUUGAGGAAAGCGUGUCAAAAGCCAAGAUAGGAUGAAAGUUAGGUCUCUUGUACCCAACAGUAACAUAACUUUUGAAUGCAAAGAAAAAGUUCUUGGAGGAAAUUAGAAGUGCUACUCCAGUGAAUACAUGGAUGAUAAGAAAGCAAAGCAGCCUCAUUGCUGACAUGGAGAAAGUUGCAGUAAUCUGGGUAGAAGAUCAAAUCAGCCGUAACAUUCUCUUAAGACAAACCAAUCGAGAGCAAGACCCUAACUUUCUUCAAUUCUAUGAAGGCUAAGAGAGGUAAGGAAGCUGCAGAAGAAAAGUUGGAAGCUAGCAGAUUGGUUCAUGAGGUUUAACGAAAGAAGCUGGUUUAAGGAAAGAAGCUAUUUUCAUAACAUAAAAGUACAAGGUGAAGCAGCAAGUGCUGGUGUAGAAGCUACAGCAAGUUAUCCAGAAGAUCUUGCUAACAUUAUUGAUGAAGGAGGUUACACUAAGCAGGUUUUUAAUGUAGAUGAAACAGCC